Molecule: ribosomal RNA, 524 nt
Filed under: uncultured bacterium
Lineage: Bacteria
Description: partial 16S ribosomal RNA
Rfam family: Bacterial small subunit ribosomal RNA
Source: RNAcentral
GACGAACGCUGGCGGCGUGCCUAAUACAUGCAAGUCGAACGCUUCUUUUUCCACCGGAGCUUGCUCCAUCGGAAAAAGAGGAGUGGCGAACGGGUGAGUAACACGUGGGUAACCUGCCCAUCAGAAGGGGAUAACACUUGGAAACAGGUGCUAAUACCGUAUAACAAUCGAAACCGCAUGGUUUUGAUUUGAAAGGCGCUUUCGGGUGUCGCUGAUGGAUGGACCCGCGGUGCAUUAGCUAGUUGGGGAGGUAACGGCUCGCCAAGGGGACGAUGCAUAGACGACCUGAGAGGGUGAUGGGCCACAUGGGGACAGAGAAACGGCCCAAACUCCUACGGGAGGCAGCAGUAGGGAAUCUUCGGCAAUGGACGAAAGUCUGACCGAGCAACGCCGCGUGAGUGAAGAAGGUUUUCGGAUCGUAAAACUCUGUUGUUAGAGAAGAACAAGGAUGAGAGUAACUGUUCAUCCCUUGACGGUAUCUAACCAGAAAGCCACGGCUAACUACGUGCCAGCCGCCGCAGUAA